RNAcentral lists this ribosomal RNA (468 nucleotides) under uncultured bacterium. Its description in RNAcentral is "partial 16S ribosomal RNA". It matches the Rfam family "Bacterial small subunit ribosomal RNA", at positions 28 to 507 of the family's 1533-position model. The record is from RNAcentral.
GACGAACGCUGGCGGCGUGCUUAACACAUGCAAGUCGAACGGAAAGGCCCUGCUCUUGUGGGGUGCUCGAGUGGCGAACGGGUGAGAAACACGUGAGUAACCUGUCCCUGACUUUGGGAUAACUUCUGGAAACUGGGGCGAAUAUCGGAUAGGAGCUCCUGCAGCACGGGGGGGGUUGGAAAGUGUCGGCUGUUGGGGCUGGACUCGAGGCUUAUCCGCUUGUUGGUGGGGUAGUGGAGUACCAAGCCUUUGACGGGUAGCCGGCCUGGGAGGGGGACCGGGCACAUGAGGACUGAGAGACGGCCCAGUCUCCUACGGGAGGCAGCAGGCGGAAGUAUGGCACAGUGGGCGGAAGCCUGAUGCAGCGACGCCGCGUGCGGGAUGACGGCCUUCGGGUUGUAAACCGCUUUCGCCUGUGACGAAGCGUGAGUGACGGUAAUGGGUAAGGAAGCACCGGCUAACUACGUG